UGGGCCUCUGAUUGCUUAUUGCACCACAUGUGUUUUUCUUUGAAACAAACUUGCUUUGGCGGUGGGCCCAGCCUGCCGCCAGAGGUCUAAACUUACAACCAAUUUUUUAUUAACUUGUCACACCAGAUUAUUACUUAAUAGUCAAAACUUUCAACAACGGAUCUCUUGGUUCUCGCAUCGAUGAAGAACGCAGCGAAAUGCGAUACGUAAUAUGAAUUGCAGAUAUUCGUGAAUCAUCGAAUCUUUGAACGCACAUUGCGCCCUCUGGUAUUCCGGAGGGCAUGCCUGUUUGAGCGUCGUUUCUCCCUCAAACCGCUGGGUUUGGUGUUGAGCAAUACGACUUGGGUUUGCUUGAAAGACGGUAGUGGUAAGGCGGGAUCGCUUUGACAAUGGCUUAGGUCUAACCAAAAACAUUGCUUGCGGCGGUAACGUCCACCACGUAUAUCUUCAAACUUUGACCUCAAAUCAGGUAGGACUACCCGCUGAACUUAAGCAUAUCAAUAAGCGGAGGAA
Molecule: ribosomal RNA, 513 nt
Filed under: Candida albicans
Lineage: Eukaryota; Fungi; Ascomycota; Pichiomycetes; Serinales; Debaryomycetaceae
Description: eukaryotic LSU rRNA
Rfam family: 5.8S ribosomal RNA (bases 146-299)
Source: RNAcentral